Molecule: ribosomal RNA, 444 nt
Filed under: uncultured bacterium
Lineage: Bacteria
Description: bacterial SSU rRNA
Rfam family: Bacterial small subunit ribosomal RNA
Source: RNAcentral
ACGAACGCUGGCGGUAUGCUUAACACAUGCAAGUCGAACGAACGAAAUCUAGCUUGCUAGACUAGUUAGUGGCAAACGGGUGAGUAACGCGUGGGAAUCUACCCAGUAGUACGGAAUAACAGUUGGAAACGACUGCUAAUACCGUAUGGUAUCGAGGGAUUAAAGAUUUAUCGCUACUGGAUGAGCCCGCGUCAGAUUAGGUAGUUGGUGGGGUAAUGGCCUACCAAGCCCGAGAUCUGUAGCUGGUCUGAGAGGAUGAUCAGCCACACUGGAACUGAGACACGGUCCAGACUCCUACGGGAGGCAGCAGUGAGGAAUAUUGGACAAUGGGCGAAAGCCUGAUCCAGCAAUACCGCGUGAGUGAAGAAGGCCUUAGGGUUGUAAAGCUCUUUCAGCAGGAAAAAUAAUGAUGGUACCUGCAGAAGAAGUUCCGGCUAACUCCGU